CUGAUUUACAGAAUUCUGACCAUCAAAAGAUUGCUUGUAAUACAAGUGGCACAUUGAUCUAUCUCAGUUGGUGUUUGGUUACCUGAUGCCCUAAUUCUCAUCUUUGAUUGAACAUUCCAGUUUCCCCUAUGCCUUUAUAAGGCACAGUACUUGUCUUAAAAAAUUAAACUUCACCAAAAUCACCACAUAUAUAGAAUACUGGAAAAUAAGGCUGAAAGGAAUGUAUUUCUCCAGUCAUUCCCUGCUCCACAGAAGACUGUUCAUAUUUGUGCCAUUGGUGAAAUGUUUAUUGUAACCUAGUUUAAAAACCAAGGAAUAAAUGAGGAAGAUUCUGCAAAAUAUGGAAUUUUAUGAAGGUAAAAAACAUCCUUACCAUCAGCCAAUGAUCAGCCUCAUAGGCUGAGAGCCCAACUGCUUAUUUUGCUACUUAAGAGCAACAUGUGUGUGUAUAUAUAUGUAUGCCUUAGAAAUGCCAUGAUAAUAAAGAACAGUGUUAUUUUUGGAGAUUUCCUAAAUCUCAAGGUAGCAAAAAAAAGGUUUGAAUCACCAACAGUUAAAAUCCUUUUUGGAAGUGGGAAUUGCAAAUUAUAUAAUGUUUCUGAGUUUGUGGUUAAGAGUUGGUAGUUUCAGCCAUCUCUUCAGUUCUAAAUGGCUCUGAAACUUCUUUGAUUGCACGUUCCUAUCAGAAAAAACAUUUUGAGCGUGUGGUCCAAUCAACAGUUUUCCCAAGUUACAUGCGUGUAUUACAGUAUACAUUGUAAAACUUACAUAAACCCAAGAAGUUAAAAAAGGAUGAGGUAAAGAUUAAAUGAAGACUAUUUUUGAAACAUUUACUUAUCUGUAUUCAUUAAUUAAAAACCAUUUAAAAAUGGUUUUUAAAAAAUCAAAAACCAUUUUCACCCUGCAGCCUUACAGAUUGUCUUGCAAAGCUUCCUGGGGAGUGUGGCCUCCUCUUUGGAGACCACUGAUGUAGACACCAUAAAUACUUAUUGUUGCAGAUGUCAUCCGAAUGUUCCACUGUUACAACAUCUCUAUGCUAAGUAGUUCUUCUACUAGAGAUUGAAGACUGACUCUAGUAGAAUGACUGCUCCCUCUGAAAAGAAAAUAAGAGGAGAGAGCAGCACAAGAAGCACUGAUAAACAGCCUGACAUAGGAGAAGUUUGUAUCUGGAUCAGCUCAUAAUAUGGAGAAACAUGUCCAAGUGGAUUGGGAAAAAGGAAUUGUUUCAGAAUAUAUAGUAAUAUGCAGAAUACAGCAGUAGCUUUUGUAUUUUCAUAAAUGUUUCUACUUCAUUUACAGCUAAGUAUUAGUCAAUAAAUUCCAAAUUCUGUUUUCUCUUGUUACCUGGUGUAGUCACACUAAAAUCAGGAACAACACUUACAUACAGGAGCUAAGCUGGAUCUGGAUUUUGAUAUCCAGGCAGCUAAAUAGUCUCCAGUGCACAUCAGGUACCACUUAGGACUGUGGACAACUGGUGUGCUUUUCUCAUUAACUUCUUAGUUAUCAUACAGCCUCUCAAAGUAUUCUGUGGACCACAGGCUGGAAAUCUCAGAACUGAAUUUUUACAGAGUGAAAUGAGAUUGCAUGUACAAAACAGAAAAUAUUUUGAAUAGAGAGUUGGUUGGAAUCUUGUUACAUAUAAUAACAAGCAAAGUUUGUAUGUGAGACAAAACUCAUAGAGAAAGGGUUUUAAAUCCAGUCAGGCUGGAGAUGUGAUGAAGAGAAAUAAUUUCUGAUAGUAGAGGCAAGGGAGUCUGAAGCCUAUGUCAGUCUGUCAUCAGAGAUAGAAAUGAGGCAGGAAAACAGAUUUUGCUGAUCUUUAGCAUCACCAGCUGUUGCUGUGAGGAGGAAUCUCACCAGACUUUCCAUGUGUAAUAUAUGCUAGGCAUACUGGCCCUUGGGAACUGGAUCUUGGGGAGAAGAGCUGAAAGUUCCAUUGAUGCACAAACUAAAUGUAGCACCUGCCUACUUGAAUGGGUGGUCUUGUGGAUUAAAGGUGUUACUGCACUGAGUUUACAUGACAGUAACAUUUGGGAAGAAGAGUGUUCCUCUGGCCCUGGAAAUGGGCCUGUAACUGCUGCUUCUCAGCGUAGUGGGAGAGAGAGGCACAUAAAUGUAUGUCAGCUUUUUUGAUGAGCAGAGACCAAGGUGACUUAGUGACUGAUCAGGAAAGAAUUUUUAUUUUUUUUUGUUAUAAACAGCAAGGCAUUUAGAACGUUUUCAGGUCCUCCACAGUUCUCCAUGUGUCUGUCAGUACAAAAGAGUUCUGGUUUUGGUUUUUUUUCUUUUAGAUGUGACAUACCCCAAAGCAUCCUGUUUUCUGCAGCUUUGAUGUGGUAGAGAUUUGAAGAAGACAGAUUAUUUUCCAUUCUUGUCAUAGACUUUCACAGGCAGGCAAGGGGUGAUAUUUGUGAAAAGAGGAAAUGAAUACGUUCCUCAUGCUGACUGAAUAGUAGGUGAUGGAUUAAGCUGAUAAAAAAGUUAAAAUUCACAUUGCACCUAUGCAAGGCAUUUUCAAGGUAUUUUUUGCAUCCCUCCUUUGUUCCCUUUAGAAACAGUACAAGUGUUACUAGAAUAUACAGUCUGCAUAGUAGUAUGUCUGUAUUAAGCUCUGCCAAGUCUAUGCAUGAAGGGCUUAUAAAAGAUUUAUGUGAAUUUCUGUGUCUGCUCUUUUAUUUGGAGGCAGGUUGCUGUAUGCAGCUAUGUACAGUAUUCUGUCUUAGAGUAAUAGAUAUUUUUUGCUUAUUUGGAAGGAGGGAACUGUGUUUGGACAGUUAACUAUAUAAUACUGUUAUCCAUUUCUAUAGGAAGCAGAACAGCUAAGAAAAAGUAUUUUUGUAUUAGACAAAUUGCAAUAUAAUUGAGGUUUUUAAUACAGAAACGGAAAAAAAAAUGUUUUAUUCAAAGGUCAUUGGAAUUUUUUUCAAUAAAGUGCUCUAAUAGCAAGAAACGAAUUCCACAGAAUCACAGUAUCAGUUAGGUUGGAACAGACCUCUGAGGCCAUCAAGUCCCAGCUUUUGAGCAAACACAAUCUUGUCAGGUAGACCAUGGCACUGAGUGCCACAUGCAGUCUUUUCUUAAACACCUCCAGGAAUGGCGACUCCAUCGCCUCCCUGGGCAGCCCAUUCCAAUGCUAGACAACUCUUCUGUGAACAAAUGCCUCCUGUUUAUCUGUGUUGUGAAACAGUUACAUUUUGAGGAGAGAGAAACUGAAGAGGUGAAAGCUGUCCGUGAUGUUACAUGUACUGAAGGGGAAGAUGCUCUGAAGCAGAGAAAGAAGCCUAAGCAGUAGCUGUAUGCAGUUACCCUUUUGGUUCUGUCAUACCAAUGCAGUGGGAAGCCAGGAGUCCAGAUGAAUGUUUCAGUUACAUCUUGAUGAGGAAUGGGAAUGUCACACUGACUGUGCAGCUGUAUAUAUGUCAUCUGUAAAUAUUUCAUUUACAAGAAGUGUGGUUUGUCCAAGAGGGUGUGUGCAGUUUCCCUUCCUUGAUGCUACUGUGCAGAGCACAGCCUGGUAGUCUUUAUUCUCUGGAUUCUUUCUGUUCAGUGGUAUUGUGCAUUAGGCCUGAAGCUUGCAUUUUGUGAGUUUUAGGAGGAAACUCGCUGUGCUUGUGUGUAUAUUUUCCCAUGCAUCUAACCAACACAAGGUGACAGAAAUAACACAGUUGUUACCGUUACCCUGCCCACCGACCUUUACAACAUUGUAUGGGAGGGGUAGUGCAGAUAUAAUGUGAUGUGGGAAUGCUUGUCCAUGCCCAAAUGGAAAUAGUUGUUUACUGGAUGGCAAGUACUGAAGUUUUAUCAGUGGGAGAACUAGGCAGGAAAAGUCUGCAGUUUGACUUUGCUAAACUUUUACACAAUUUUUCCUCCACGUGAAAUAUUUCCACAGGAAUCUAAGGUGUGUGGAAGAUGCUGGAUCACCAGGUGCAGAGAUUGAACUCUACCCACUGGAAAGGUUUUUCUGCAGCAGCCGCAGGUCUUCUCUUGCCUCUCAUGGGAACACUUAGCCUUUUGAUAAUGCCUCCUUCACAAUGAAGGGAAGAAAGGAUGGAUCAGCAGGAAUGUGCAAUGGAGUGAUGUCCACAUGGGGUGUUAACAGUCAUGAUGAUCCCUGUCCCGCUAACUUGGAUAAUUGAAUAAAAAAGUUGAAUUGUAA
Long non-coding RNA from Haemorhous mexicanus (house finch), 4156 nucleotides. RefSeq lists it as uncharacterized. The record is from RefSeq and is a predicted model, not a curated record. Lineage: Eukaryota; Metazoa; Chordata; Aves; Passeriformes; Fringillidae. The transcript is spliced from 2 exons.